Apis cerana (Asiatic honeybee) is the source of this 1319-nucleotide long non-coding RNA. RefSeq lists it as uncharacterized. NCBI's taxonomy places the organism in Eukaryota, Metazoa, Arthropoda, Insecta, Hymenoptera, Apidae. The record is from RefSeq and is a predicted model, not a curated record.
CGUUGGAUGUAUAUCAUUGGUGCAACGUGAAAAAGGAAAGGAUUUAAAAAAAAAAGGGAUGUGCGAGAGUGUGAAUUGGUAACGGGAGUAGAAUUAGAGAUACUGGCAAGUAUAAAAUCGCAAUGUUAAGGCCGUAGCACGGGCGAGAGAGGUGGUCCUCUCUCGUACAGACGCGGCGGAGAAUAAUUCAAGUAGGUGGAAACUGGAAGGGUAAGGGCGAGGGUUGCGUGGCGGUGGAAAUUGCGGAUGGCAGGGGUAAAGCUGCAGCACUCCGCUUAGACAAAGCCUAACGAAGCUUCUAUUCAGCAACAGUAGGCAUCACGAGGCCCAACUUCACUUCUAUUAUACUUACUCGUCGGCACGAAGUGAAUUCCAUCCAUCAACGGAAUUCCAGGCUAAGCAGCUCUCUGCCGUCUCUAUCUCUGGCACGAGAGACUUAUCGACAGCCGAGGAUAUGUUGGCGCGAAUCUGUGGCUGGGAUAAGCGCGUCUCCACCGUAAUAAAACUCCCGGAGGGAAGUCAGUGCCGUUAGCUGGAACUUUUCCUUAAAAAGAGAAGGAAGAAGAGGAGGAGGAAGAAGAAUCAAUCCCGUAACGUCGACUGGGUUUACGUAUAGAUCAAUUCUCGAGAUCGUAACAAACUUAUUUUUCAUUAGGAAAAUGUCACUUUUUAUUUAUCUUUUACGUUUCUUUGUGUAUAAUGUUCAAAUCAGAGAGAACAUUUCGUUUGCUAAAUUGUUUUAUAAUUAAUUUCUUUUUUUUUAAAAUGAUUUUUAUUAAUCGUUAAUAGUUAUGUUCAAAAAUUUUAAAAGAUUAAUAAUUAAUAAUUUUAUUAAAAAAUAUUUACGUAAUUAAUAUUCAUUAGCAGUUUAUUGCUCGAUUUACGAAAGAUUCGAGAAAUUUCGUAAAUCGAAAUCAUCUUAUUGGCGAUGAGAGACAAAGGAUAUACAAUAAGGAGAAUGUAGUAGUGACAAAUGUAAGGGGAUGUUUGUCCUUAAGUGCUUGAAAAGCUGGAGUUGAGUAAUUGAACGCGUGAUCAAUGGGCUUAACUUCUCGAUCGAAUGAGUCUAGACGCAAGAACAGCUAGAAAAUAAGAGAAAAAUAAACGGCGAAUGUUUCUCCAUUGAUCUAUAUAUCAUCUUAUUGUGAAGUUAUGAAAGGAAAGAAGAGAAGAAAUAUGAUAUUGAAGAAAAGAAAAAUAUGGUAUUGCUCAUCUGUUUGUGAUUUUAUCAAUAAAACGGAAUUUAGUCAAAAAUUAGAACAAAGAAAGUAAAGAAAAAUUGGUAAGUUAGUGAUUUUCAUAUUUAUAAUAAAGGCAUC